AGUAAAAGUCGUAACAAGGUCUCCGUAGGUGAACCUGCGGAGGGAUCAUUACAGAGAACAUCGCCCUCACGGGUGACUCUCCAACCCUAUGUUAUUAAAACCUUUGUUGCUUUGGCGGGCCGCUUCGGCCACCGACUUCGGUUGGUGCGCGCCCGCCAGAGGACCACAAACUCUUGUUUAUUAAUGUCGUCUGAGUAAUAUAUAAUAGUUAAAACUUUCAACAACGGAUCUCUUGGUUCUGGCAUCGAUGAAGAACGCAGCGAAAUGCGAUAAGUAAUGUGAAUUGCAGAAUUCAGUGAAUCAUCGAAUCUUUGAACGCACAUUGCGCCCCGUGGUAUUCCGCGGGGCAUGCCUGUUCGAGCGUCAGUACAACACUCAAGCUCUGCUUGGUAUUGGGCCCCGUCCGUCUGGACCGGCCUUAAAAUCAGUGGCGGUGCCAUCGGGCUCUAAGCGUAGUAAUACUCCUCGCUACAGAGUCCCGUUGCGUGCUGGCCAGAAACCCCCAACUUUCUAAGUUUGACCUCGGAUCAGGUAGGGAUACCCGCUGAACUUAAGCAUAUCAAUAAGCGGAGGAAAAGAAACCAACAGGGAUUGCCCCAGUAACG
Molecule: ribosomal RNA, 605 nt
Filed under: uncultured fungus
Lineage: Eukaryota; Fungi
Description: eukaryotic LSU rRNA
Rfam family: 5.8S ribosomal RNA (bases 213-366)
Source: RNAcentral